CUCUCAUACGGGGGCUUUCGAAGCUUCAGGGGAGCCCGGCGCUUUGCAAACGCCUGAGCAUUUAUUUCUUACAAGGAAAAAAAAAAAAAAUCCCACACAGCCAAUCCCAGCGGUAGAGCGAGACGCACUGCACACGCAGUCCCGAUCUCCCAGGCUGCCCAAGCCGGAUCCGGAUCUCCGGGCCCGCCCCGAAUCCGUCCCCGGCUCUUGUAUUAGCGCCUCUGCACGGCCCUGAGCUCGGGUCGCUGGGUUACUGGAGAGGAAGGAACCCGGGGACCGAGCCCGUUUUGGUGUCUGGGCGUGUUUCCGCCUCAGUUCCUCGCCACCAAGCCCCAGAGAUCUUGAUCACCAAAUCAACCCCGACCACUGGGAAGAGGGGGCCUAAAGUCUGGGGCCCCAGCUCUGCCGUGGCCUUCUAGGCCGUCCCCAGACAGGAAGACGCGCGAGGAACAAAGGGGGACAGAGAGAGAGGCUUGUCUCUCGGCCCCGCGCGCAACCGUCCGUGGAGAAGAAGCAACCUCAGCCCAGCCGAGCCAACCUGGGCACGGGUGGAACUUCACAGCCCUGGAAGCGACUGGGCUCCCCGAAGGCUCUGAGCUCCGGAUUCCGGCUCCCCGCCUCCGACAGCGCCGGCGCUGCCACCGCAACAGCUUUCAGGACCUAAGGAGACGGCCCAGAGCCAUGGGAGCCGCAAGAGUCCUGGUUUUCAAACGUGCCAGGGGCGCCUGAGAUGCUUGGCCUCCACUGGGGAGACCCCCGCCUCGCCUUUAGGCUAUAUUUGUGAUUUACUUUCGUCUUUCAGAACCCAGAAAGAUAACCACGGAGGUACUAGGCACUGCCACAAAAUGCUUUCAUUAGCGCCCUCAUUUUACUCCUGGAGGUCUAAGCAAGACCCUAAUAAUUCGGCCCACGGAUCCCCAGCCCCAAACAGCUUCUGUGGCUGUGAGGAGCCUGGGCCCACUCUCUGGGUUCACCGAGAACCCUCCGACUUGGGGCCCGGUUGGCUAGAGGAAAGGGACUGGGUGGUGAAGAUUCUCCAAGCUGGAUACUCAAAGCAAAUCAAAUAGCAAACUAAUGACAGGAGAACCAUAUUUACACACAAGAAAAAUCGACUCUGGUUAUAAAAGUGUAUGGAAUUUGACCUCGCCUCGGAGAAACACUACACAAAAGCUAUCUUUAAUAGACGCCUGUCAUUUAAGAGCGGCAGGGACACUGCCCCUCACGCGCUCGAAAAAACAGAGCCAUAAUUGUAACUGCUGCUGCGGGUAGGAUUUAUUUCUCCAAUUGGCUAAAUGGCCUCCCCCCUUCCCCGAAGGUGAUAUCUGUAUUUUCAAAUUUCAGAGCUGUCGGCACGACGGGCAGAACCGACCCCAAUCUCGCCACAAAAAAUAAGAGGGGCUACACAGCGGGGAAAUAAAGUUGUUGUAAAUAAAAUUCAAGUCACCAUCUUCCCCCAGUCCUGUGCAACCUCGCCGGGCACGCGAUCGGCAGCUGACGGCCUCACAAUUGGUACAUCCUAAUGGAACUGCGAGGGAAAUGCAAUAAUUUUGCCAUAAUGGGCUGUAACCUCAAUUCGACCCCGGCCCUCGCAGCCCCGGGUCGGAAGCGGAGCGAUGCGCUCUGCCUCCAGCGGGUGGCGCUCGAGUCCGACUGAACGACGGCGGCGGGCGGCGGGCACGCGCCUGGGGCGCGCGCGCCACCCCUCUCGCCUCCACCCAACUCCCCCAUUAGUGCACGAGUUUACCUCUAGAGGUCAUCAGGCAGGAUUUACGACUGGACAACAAAAGCACGUGAUUCGAAGUCGUACCCCAUAUUUGGGUGCCUACGUAGGAGGGAACCAAGUACAUGUCCCAGUCAUUUCCAUAAUUCAUCAUAAAUUGUGCAAGGGUGCUAUAGACGCACAAACGACCGCGAGCCACAAAUCAAGCACACAUAUCAAAAAACAAAUGAGCUCUUAUUUUGUAAACUCAUUUUGCGGUCGCUAUCCAAAUGGCCCGGACUACCAGUUGCAUAAUUAUGGAGAUCAUAGUUCCGUGAGCGAGCAAUUCAGGGACUCGGCGAGCAUGCACUCCGGCAGGUACGGCUACGGCUACAAUGGCAUGGAUCUCAGCGUCGGCCGCUCGGGCUCCGGCCACUUUGGCUCCGGGGAGCGCGCCCGCAGCUACGCGGCCGGCGCCAGCGCGGCGCCCGCCGAGCCCAGGUACAGCCAGCCGGCCACGUCCACGCACUCGCCUCCGCCCGACCCGCUUCCCUGCUCCGCCGUGGCCCCUUCGCCCGGCAGCGAGAGCCACCACGGCGGGAAAAACUCCCUGGGCAACUCCAGCGGCGCCUCGGCCAACGCCGGCAGCACCCACAUCAGCAGCAGAGAGGGGGUUGGCACGGCGUCCGGAGCCGAGGAGGACGCCCCCGCCAGCAGCGAGCAGGCGAGCGCGCAGAGCGAGCCGAGCCCGGCGCCGCCCGCCCAACCCCAGAUCUACCCCUGGAUGCGCAAGCUGCACAUAAGUCAUGACAACAUAGGCGGCCCGGAAGGCAAAAGGGCCCGAACGGCCUACACGCGCUACCAGACCCUGGAGCUGGAGAAGGAGUUCCACUUCAACCGCUACCUGACCCGCCGAAGAAGGAUUGAAAUAGCACAUGCUCUUUGCCUCUCGGAGAGACAAAUUAAAAUCUGGUUCCAAAACCGGAGAAUGAAGUGGAAAAAAGAUAAUAAGCUGAAAAGCAUGAGCAUGGCGGCGGCGGGAGGGGCCUUCCGCCCCUGAGUAUUUGAGCGUUUAAAGUACUGAGCAGUAUUAGCGGAUCCCGCGUAGUGUCAGUACUAAGGCUACGUGUGCCGCCUGGUCAUUCAAAUUGUCAAUUUUAGGUCCAGAAGUGUCCAAACCACAAGUUCUCAAAACUCUCUGAAAAAUGGCUACCUCCGAGUUAAGUAACUCUGGGGUUGCCUCAGAAUUCCAAAGGGGAGAGCAGACUUUCCCUCGGCUCAAAGGAGCAGCGCCAGGAGCUAGCUUCGGAGGCAUCACGGUGCAAGGCGCCAGUGGCCGCGCCGCAUCCCCAGGCCUAACUUUAAUUGCUGCACCAGCGCGGAUGUUAAUGACUUCCGCUGCUCUCGCCGGCGUGCAAAAAGAUGAUUUUUGUGUGUGAGUGGGCCUGCAUGCGGAGACUGGGCAGGGUCGCCCCCAUCCCGGGACUGGCGGGCCGGGCUCUGCGGGGUCUGCGGAGCCCUGGGUGGGGGCUGGGAGCCCCGGGGGGCGCGGGCCGCGGGCGCCGAGGCCGCGCUGCGCCCGGGCGCGCUGGGGAGUUUGAAAGAAAGGCCCGAGCAGGGCCGAGGAGGACUCUGGCGGGAUUCCUUACGGGGCUGUGGCAAUACGUCUUCGCGGGCCGGGGUCAUUUGGCAGCAUUGAAUCGAGGCGACGGCCUUCGGGGCCGGGUCGCAGGCCGGCUCGGUAGAGCCCGAGGGUGGCAGGGGCCGGCGGGGCACACCUCCGGGCUGGGCCCCAGGGUUGCCAGGCCGAGGCCAGGCCGCGGGCACCCGCGGGACGCUGGGGACCGCAGGUCCCCACCUGGGGGGAGGGCUCAGCACCCCCUCCCCGCCCCCACCCGGGAUGAGGCCCUGAACCUUGUUUGCCUGCACGUUCUUUUUAUUUCGGGGAGAUUGUUCUCACCCGCCUGUGAGUCUGAAGCAAUAAACUUUAUGGCCGGAUUUAACUUUAGUCUUUGAAUCCCCAGUCUAAAUGAAAGGAGUUGCAGCGCUUUCUUUUCUUCCGCCUUGCCUUUCUUCCCCCUCUCUUCUUUCCUUUUCCUCUCCUCCUUUGCAGAAUUAAACCAUCCAGGCACAGGACCCUCAAAAGGCAACUUAGCCAUCUCCCUAGAUAACACGUAAGAUUAGAGAAAUUUAUUCCCCCUCAAUAUACAGGCAAAGUCUCUGUUGCAAACUGUGCCCUGAAGUUUGAGGGGAAAUCGAAGUGUCUUCAAUGCCCAACUUAAAAGCCCCCAGAGCCAUUAGGUUGUUUUUCCUCACACAUCAUAAAGGGUAGUUUAGGGGAGAAAUUGGUCGUUUGUCAGUAGGAGAUUUCCGCCUUUCUUUUGUUAGCUGCUCUUUCUGUUUGAUCCCAGGAAAUUUACAUAAUCUAUGAUUUCCAAAACAGUUCCCAAUAUUGCACCAAUGGGUGAGAUAAAUUUUUCCUGGGUACAGUUGCAGCUUGGUCUCAGCCACCCUUUCUGGCCCCAACCCCCUACAUUCUUCAGUGGCAAAGCCAUGACUGGGGACCCUGCGGCCUAUCCUGGGUCCUUUCCCUGAAUGGGUACCCACAAGGGAUUUAGCAGAUUUUCCCCAUCCUGGAUGAAGAACUAAGCCAACUCCCCCAAUCCAGAAGUGAAACAGAAAUUGGGAUCUUCUGUCUCCAAAUGCUUUUCUCCUUAGGGAAAUUUUCUGCAAGUGCUGACUGUAAAGUAAAGUCCUUCAAGUGGAAACAUUUAAUGUGUAAUUUGGAAUUUCCACAAAUUUCAUUGUGCAGAGGCCACUUUCACUCAACCUAAGUCCAACGGAUAUCCCCAAACUCAGAGGUCCAGAAAGCAAAACCUCAGAAGUUUUUUGAAAAAUUGAAACCCUCCCACAAGUCCCACUCCUCUUGAGUAGUGGGAAGGCGAAUCUCUGAAGUCCUUUCAUGUAACCUAUUAAAGUGAGCAUUGAUAGUUCAGCACUUAGGAAGCUGGGUCUGUAUCUUAGUCAGAACCAGAAUAUUAACUUUAUUUGGGUUCUCUUUUAUUAUGUGUUAGUGAGAAUUCUGGAGUCUUUGUUCUGCUACUCUGAGUUUCAGGUUCUUUAAUGGAAAACACUGGGUUAAGGGUUUUACUUUAGUUACUCAUUUGGUGAUCCUGCAUGAGUGAUUUCUUGGUGACUAAAAUUAGUGGCAGAAAAAAGAGGGAUAGGGCUCCUGACAGGUUCAUUUAGGUAACUUGCCUGGAGGAAGUGUCCAUACCACUUCCGUGAUCGCAUCCCACCCUGGGGUGUGGGAAUGGGCAGAAAGUCUCUGGACCAGUAUCACACAAUAUGGGGGAAUCUUUCCCAUGCAUUAAAAAAAUAUAUGGGCUAUAAAUAUUGUCAGCUUGCUUAUUUCUGUCUAUUGUAAUUAUCAUAAAACUUUAGAGUUUAAGAGCAGGCCAACGCACAUGGGGUUAAACGACUUUAAAAAAUACAGCAUCCAGGCAGACCUAUGUGAGCGGUAUUGGAGGAAUUUUUUUUCUUCCUAUUUUCAUAGGAAGCAUCAUAAAGAGGAUGACUGGUUAUCUGCUUGUUUUGUAGAUAAAGUUGUUUUUUUCUUGUGCAUUCUUUUGGGGUUGUUUUUGCAGAGGAACUUACCUAGGAAAAAAAAUCUCUGUCACCCUGAGGGCUUUAUGAAGACAUCUAGCCUCAGCCGAUGGCUGUAGAGUCUGUCUGUGAUCCUAGCCUUGUAAAAGGAGAAGGCAUCCGAAAUGUGCCGGGGCCCAUUUGUUUCUACAGGCUGAAGAGACAAUAUUUCCUGAACUAUAAAUAUAAUAGGAAGCUUCUGGUCACACUUACUUAGGGGUUUGUUAGGGUUUCCAUGGUCUAAUUUCACAACAUUAUGCCAAGAUUCCUUACCCCCACCACCACUCUUUCCCCUUGCUUCAUUGUUGGCAUUCUGAGAGAACAACACAGAAAUUUCUACUAGAAACGGAGUCAUGUUCAGUUGUUGAGAUGUGAAGAAUAUUAUAUCCAAACAAUUAAUGAGGGGAGAGCAAAUUACAUCCUGAAAGAUAGGCUGUUAAAGAGGAAAACAAUUCUUUUAGCUUAAAAGAUGCCCUUCAAAGCCUCUCUCCCAUCUUCACUCUGGAGUCUUGUCUGAGGUUUGCCCACCAUGGAGAGUGCAGAACGUUGUGGGCGCCAUCCCUUUGGCUUCUAAGGCAUGUCUUUCUAGACAAUGACAAAACUAUACACGGGGCUUCCAGACUGGGCUGAGGGGGUCUGCCUAGGCUCCCACCCACAUUGGAGAGGGGAGCCACAGUCCUAGCCAUUCUAAACCCCAGGACUAGAAGGUCUGCCUAGGUCUGUUUUAUUUGGUGUUUUUCCUGCAAAGAAAGCUGCCUUUCCCCCAUCAGUUCCCCUCCCCACAAACCGGUCUUUUCAAUAAUAAUAUUUGUUAUGAAGGUUAUUGGGUAAUUAUUGCGAUUUUGUGAAGCAGCCCUUGCUGGAGGUGAAGUCUGUCAUCGCCUAACAAAUGACGCCCGUGCAGUUCACUGCCGGGUUAAGUAAAUGCAGAGAAGAUAAAUCUGCACACCCUAGGAAUCGCCAGCAGAGCACGCUUUAGUACAAGUUCACAGUCAACUCUCCUGCCUGGGCCAGCUCUCCCAACAAUUAGGGCUGCGUCUUUAUUUUUAAAUAAAGGAAAAGUCUCCAGCUUC
Cervus elaphus (red deer) is the source of this 6417-nucleotide RNA transcript. It is a transcript of the gene named homeobox A5, with no coding region annotated. NCBI's taxonomy places the organism in Eukaryota, Metazoa, Chordata, Mammalia, Artiodactyla, Cervidae. The record is from RefSeq and is a predicted model, not a curated record. The transcript has 4 exons.